This 494-nucleotide ribosomal RNA is filed under the name uncultured bacterium. RNAcentral's name for it is "partial 16S ribosomal RNA". It matches the Rfam family "Bacterial small subunit ribosomal RNA", at positions 28 to 507 of the family's 1533-position model. The record is from RNAcentral.
GACGAACGCUGGCGGCGUGCUUAACACAUGCCAGUCGAACGGAAAGGCCUGCUUUCCCUUGUGGAUUGCGGGUACUCGAGUGGCGAACGGGUGAGUAAUACGUGAGUGAUCUGCCCCCAACUUGGGUAUAAGCCUGGGAAACUGGGUCUAAUUCCCGAUAGGACUGCAGGGUGGUGCCUGUGGUGGAAAACGAUUUUCUAGUGGUUGGGGAUGAGCUCGCGGCCUAUCAGCUUGUUGGUGGGGUAAUGGCCUACCAAGGCGGCGACGGGUAGCCGGCCUGAGAGGGUGGACGGCCACAUUGGGACUGAGAUACGGCCCAGACUCCUACGGGAGGCAGCAGUGGGGAAUAUUGCACAAUGGGCGGAAGCCUGAUGCAGCGACGCCGCGUGGGGGAUGACGGCCUUCGGGUUGUAAACUCCUUUCGACCGCGAGGAAGCCACCUGGUUGGAAGGGUGGUGACGGUAGUGGUAGAAGAAGCACCGGCUAACUACGUG